RNAcentral lists this ribosomal RNA (496 nucleotides) under uncultured bacterium. RNAcentral's name for it is "partial 16S ribosomal RNA". It matches the Rfam family "Bacterial small subunit ribosomal RNA", at positions 28 to 506 of the family's 1533-position model. The record is from RNAcentral.
GAUGAACGCUGGCGGCGUGCCUAAUACAUGCAAGUCGAGCGAACAGACGAGGAGCUUGCUCCUCUGACGUUAGCGGCGGACGGGUGAGUAACACGUGGAUAACCUACCUAUAAGACUGGGAUAACUUCGGGAAACCGGAGCUAAUACCGGAUAACAUGUUGAACCGCAUGGUUCAACAGUGAAAGACGGUCUUGCUGUCACUUAUAGAUGGAUCCGCGCCGCGUUAGCUAGUUGGUAAGGUAACGGCUUACCAAGGCAACGAUGCGUAGCCGACCUGAGAGGGGGAUCGGCCACACUGGAACUGAGACACGGUCCAGACUCCUACGGGAGGCAGCAGUAGGGAAUCUUCCGCAAUGGGCGAAAGCCUGACGGAGCAACGCCGCGUGAGUGAAGAAGGUCUUCGGAUCGUAAAACUCUGUUAUUAGGGAAGAACAAAUGUGUAAGUAACUAUGCACGUCUGGACGGUACCUAAGCAGAAAGCCACGGCUAACUACGU